RNAcentral lists this ribosomal RNA (223 nucleotides) under Clostridioides difficile. Its description in RNAcentral is "partial 23S ribosomal RNA". It matches the Rfam family "Bacterial large subunit ribosomal RNA", at positions 1225 to 1448 of the family's 2925-position model. The record is from RNAcentral. Lineage: Bacteria; Bacillati; Bacillota; Clostridia; Peptostreptococcales; Peptostreptococcaceae.
UGGGUAGGGGAGCUUCCCAUACGGGUUGAAGCAUGACCGUAAGGACGUGUGGACAGUAUGGGAGUGGGAAUGUUGGCAUGAGUAGCGAGAUGUGGGUGGGAAUCCCACAGGCCGUAAACCCAAGGUUUCCAGGGGAAGGUUCGUCCGCCCUGGGUUAGUCGGGACCUAAGCUGAGGCCGAAAGGCGUAGGUGAUGGACAACAGGUUGAUAUUCCUGUACUACC